RNAcentral lists this ribosomal RNA (1343 nucleotides) under uncultured bacterium. Its description in RNAcentral is "16S ribosomal RNA". It matches the Rfam family "Bacterial small subunit ribosomal RNA", at positions 28 to 1378 of the family's 1533-position model. The record is from RNAcentral.
GACGAACGCUGGCGGCGUGCUUAACACAUGCAAGUCGAACGGAAAGGCCCUGCUUUUGUGGGGUGCUCGAAUGGCGAACGGGUGAGUAACACGUGAGUAACCUGCCCUUGACUUUGGGAUAACUUCAGGAAACUGGGGCUAAUACCGGAUAGGAGCUCCUGCUGCAUGGUGGGGGUUGGAAAGUUUCGGCGGUUGGGGAUGGACUCGCGGCUUAUCAGCUUGUUGGUGGGGUAGUGGCUUACCAAGGCUUUGACGGGUAGCCGGCCUGAGAGGGUGACCGGCCACAUUGGGACUGAGAUACGGCCCAGACUCCUACGGGAGGCAGCAGUGGGGAAUAUUGCACAAUGGGCGGAAGCCUGAUGCAGCAACGCCGCGUGCGGGAUGACGGCCUUCGGGUUGUAAACCGCUUUCGCCUGUGACGAAGCGUGAGUGACGGUAAUGGGUAAAGAAGCACCGGCUAACUACGUGCCAGCAGCCGCGGUGAUACGUAGGGUGCGAGCGUUGUCCGGAUUUAUUGGGCGUAAAGGGCUCGUAGGUGGUUGAUCGCGUCGGAAGUGUAAUCUUGGGGCUUAACCCUGAGCGUGCUUUCGAUACGGGUUGACUUGAGGAAGGUAGGGGAGAAUGGAAUUCCUGGUGGAGCGGUGGAAUGCGCAGAUAUCAGGAGGAACACCAGUGGCGAAGGCGGUUCUCUGGGCCUUUCCUGACGCUGAGGAGCGAAAGCGUGGGGAGCGAACAGGCUUAGAUACCCUGGUAGUCCACGCUGUAAACGGUGGGUACUAGGUGUGGGGUCCAUUCCACGGGUUCCGUGCCGUAGCUAACGCUUUAAGUACCCCGCCUGGGGAGUACGGCCGCAAGGCUAAAACUCAAAGGAAUUGACGGGGCCCCGCACAAGCGGCGGAGCAUGCGGAUUAAUUCGAUGCAACGCGUAGAACCUUACCUGGGUUUGACAUGGAUCGGGAGUGCUCAGAGAUGGGUGUGCCUCUUUUGGGGUCGGUUCACAGGUGGUGCAUGGCUGUCGUCAGCUCGUGUCGUGAGAUGUUGGGUUAAGUCCCGCAACGAGCGCAACCCUUGUUCACUGUUGCCAGCACGUUAUGGUGGGGACUCAGUGGAGACCGCCGGGGUCAACUCGGAGGAAGGUGGGGAUGACGUCAAGUCAUCAUGCCCCUUAUGUCCAGGGCUUCACGCAUGCUACAAUGGCUGGUACAGAGAGUGGCGAGCCUGUGAGGGUGAGCGAAUCUCGGAAAGCCGGUCUCAGUUCGGAUUGGGGUCUGCAACUCGACCUCAUGAAGUCGGAGUCGCUAGUAAUCGCAGAUCAGCAACGCUGCGGUGAAUACGUUCCCGGG